RNA transcript from Andrographis paniculata, 2837 nucleotides. It is a transcript of the gene named endoribonuclease YBEY, chloroplastic, with no coding region annotated. Lineage: Eukaryota; Viridiplantae; Streptophyta; Magnoliopsida; Lamiales; Acanthaceae. The transcript has 14 exons. The record is from RefSeq and is a predicted model, not a curated record.
UCUUUAUAUCUUAUACAAGCUCAUUUACCAACAAAAUGUCUUUGUAGUCGAAAAGCCACCAGCUCGUGUCAAUAAUUUUUUGGGGUGACUAUAUUAUAUUUCGACUUUUACAGGGGCAAUGUGUCAAUUAUACUUACUGUAUGGGCUAUAAUCCAAUUAACUCGAAAGUAUAUACAGUAUAUUGUUUUGAGGAUAAAUUUGUCAUUGCACACGUAAAGCGGAGGAGAGACGCUUCCAUCCCCGCCGUCGAGGACUCUGACGUUCAAACCAAACCUCUGUUUACAAAAUCUCCAAAUACUUCAGGAAACUCAGGUAAUCGCCGAUUGGAUGCUUUCGCGCGUCUCUCCGCUCCUCCGCUCUUCACCGCCAUCCAUGGCGGCGCGUGUUCUUUCCCUAACAUGUCCUACCGUCAUUCAUCUCCCUUCGACGAUUCCGCAUCAACCGCCGCGUCCUGGUUGGAAGGUGUCGAUGUCGUGUUCGGAGUCUGUCUCUGUUGUUGGAAGCAGAGGAUUUGCUAGCAAUGAUAACUCGUACAUCGCGCGUCGAUUCAGGAGCAGAAAUGGCAGUUUCGCCCUGGCGGCGGCUGCAAAGAGGGAAUAUCGGAAGUUCAGGGGGAGAAGAGCGGCGAAGAAGAGUAAGGAUAAGGAGCUCGAGCUGAGUGUGAGGAUUUGCCUCGAAGAACAGUUACCCGAAGAUCCUGAGAUUAUGGAUAUUGCAGAAAUGAUGCGUCUCAAUGCUCCAAUGGCAAUGAAGUUAGCAUUCGAGCGAUUAAGUGAUUCAGAAUAUAAAACAAGGGAUGCUUCUAUACAUGAUGUUGGCUGUUUUAAGACUGUUGAGCUUUCGGUACUACUUUGCAAUGAUGAGUUCAUUAGGAAACUUAAUAAGGAAUGGAGAGAUGAAGAUCAUGCUACUGAUGUCCUUUCAAUGUCCCAACAUAUACCUGAACUCAAGCUUCCCAUUCUAAUGAUGGGAGACAUUGUGAUUUCUGUUGAGACAGCUGCACGCCAGGCAGAGGAGAGGGGGCACACACUUAUUGAUGAAAUACGAAUUCUCAUGGUUCAUGGAUUACUGCAUCUUUUGGGAUUUGAUCAUGAACUAAGUGACGAGGCAGAAGAAGAAAUGGAGAAUGAGGAAGAAUAUUUAUUAAAUGGUCUUGGUUGGAAAGGGAAAGGUCUGAUUCAAAGUGCAUGUGAUGCUGGUGCAAAUGGAAGUACACAUCUUGUGUAUUCAGAUGACAGGAAGAGAGUAGGCAGUCUCCGAUUUUACAAGCCAAAGUAUGGUUAUAUCUUCUGUGACAUGGAUGGUACACUACUAAACAGCCGAAGCCAAAUUUCUGUAUCAACUGCUGAAGCUCUAAAAGAAGCCUCAUCAAGGGGUGUUAAAAUUGUGAUAGCUACUGGAAAAUCUCGUCCAGCUGUAAUUCGUAUUUUGAAGACGGUAAAUUUGGCUGGUAGUGAUGGCAUUGUCUCGGAGUUCUCUCCUGGUAUUUUUGUACAGGGGUUGCUUGUCUAUGGCAGGCAUGGUCAGGAAAUAUUUCGAAGGAAUUUGAAUUCGAAUGUCUGCAUUGAGGCGCUUCAAUACUCUAUUGAGCAUAAAAUUCCAAUUAUUGCCUUCAGCGAGGACAGGUGCUUAACAUUGUUUGAACACCCUCUUGUGGACUUGUUGCACACUGUAUAUCAUGAGCCGAAGGCGGAGAUCAUACCUUCAGUUAAGCAGCUCCUGGCGACUGGAAAUGUACAGAAACUGCUCUUUUUAGACACUACUGAGGGAGUUUCUGGUACUUUGCGACCAUACUGGGAGGAAGCAGUAGGGGAUCGUGCAUCCGUUGUCCAAGCAGUAUCGGAUAUGCUUGAAAUCGUUCCGCCUGGGACCUCGAAGGGAAAUGGUGUGAGAGUGCUUCUUGAUCAUCUCGGUAUUUCUGCAAAAGAGGUGAUGGCUAUCGGUGACGGAGAGAAUGAUGUGGAGAUGCUCGAGCUGGCUUCUCUAGGCAUUGCUCUUAGCAAUGGAUCGGAGAAAGCUAAAGCUGUAGCGAAUGUAAUUGGCGUCAGCAACGACGAAGAUGGAGUAGCUGAUGCAAUAUAUCGAUACGCAUUCUGAUCAUUUAUAUUUGAUUCAGUAAGGGUGGUCUGAUCUGAUCUUUGCUGCUGCCAUUGAUUUUAAGAUCUAAGGUUAUUUCUUCUCAAGAAACAUCUCAUCCAUAAAUGAAAAGAGAACAAAAUAAAAAUAAGGGUAAGAAGAUAAAAAUAGCAUACAGUGGGGACAGCGCUGGCAACACAUGCAAUUGAAGCAGCUUUGGCUCCUGCGCGCACCGAUUCUGCAACUCAGGAAACAUGAUGACAGACGCAGGUUAGUUUUCUGCUUAGGAACUUGUUUUUCUGAAGACUUAAAAAGUUCAAAAAAAUCAAUAGAAUCCUAAUUGUAUACAAACCCUAACUAUCGACUAGUAUCAGAAAUCAACAAGAAGGAGCACGCAAUCUCUAAUCACAUGAAAAUUGAAAAUUCUCCACAAAAACUAGAAGAAAUAAAUACACGAUCUACUCUCUCGCAAACCACGAUAUGUACCUAACCGCCAGAGAAUGAACAAAAGUACCUGAUGCAAUCAAUAUAAAACAAAAUAGAAACGAACUAAAAUGGGGAAAUCAGAAAGACUCCUCUAAUAAUUUCCUUAAAACAACACAAUAAUUACCAAAAAAUAAAAAACACGGAUCAGUCAACCUUGAGUACACUGCUUUGUGCGAAGAGAUUUCUCAUCCUCAAACGGAGAUUGAAUCACCAAAGCAUUCCUCCGAUUCGCGAGAAAAUCCUUAAUUUCUGACGGAAUCCCCAUUUCCCCCAAA